AGUGAACGCUGGCGGUAGGCCUAACACAUGCCAGUCGAACGGCAGCACAGUAAGAGCUUGCUCUUACGGGUGGCGAGUGGCGGACGGGUGAGGAAUACAUCGGACUCUACUUUUUCGUGGGGGAUAACGUAGGGAAACUUACGCUAAUACCGCAUACGACCUACGGGUGAGAGCAGGGGAUCUUCGGACCUUGCGCGAUUGAAUGAGCCGAUGUCGGAUUAGCUAGUUGGCGGGGUAAAGACCCACCAAGGCGACGAUCCGUAGCUGGUCUGAGAGGAUGAUCAGCCACAUUGGAACUGGGACACGGUCCAGACUCCUACGGGAGGCAGCAGUGGGGAAUAUGGGACAAUGGGCGCAAGCCUGAUCCAGCCAUACCGCGUGGGUGAAGAAGGCCUUCGGGUUGUAAAGCCCUUUUGUUGGGAGAGAAAAGCAGCAGGUUAAUACCCCGCUGUUCUGACGGUACCCAAAGAAUAAGCACCGGCUAACUUCGUG
RNAcentral lists this ribosomal RNA (492 nucleotides) under uncultured bacterium. RNAcentral describes it as "partial 16S ribosomal RNA". It matches the Rfam family "Bacterial small subunit ribosomal RNA", at positions 29 to 507 of the family's 1533-position model. The record is from RNAcentral.